GACGAACGCUGGCGGCGUGCCUAAUACAUGCAAGUAGAACGCACAGUUUAUACCGUAGCUUGCUACACCAUAGACUGUGAGUUGCGAACGGGUGAGUAACGCGUAGGUAACCUGCCUGGUAGCGGGGGAUAACUAUUGGAAACGAUAGCUAAUACCGCAUAAUAUUAAUUAUUGCAUGAUAAUUAAUUGAAAGGUGCAAUUGCACCACUACCAGAUGGACCUGCGUUGUAUUAGCUAGUAGGUGAGGUAACGGCUCACCUAGGCGACGAUACAUAGCCGACCUGAGAGAGUGAUCGGCCACACUGGGACUGAGACACGGCCCAGACUCCUACGGGAGGCAGCAGUAGGGAAUCUUCGGCAAUGGACGAAAGUCUGACCGAGCAACGCCGCGUGAGUGAAGAAGGUUUUCGGAUCGUAAAGCUCUGUUGUAAGAGAAGAACGGGUGUGAGAGUGGAAAGUUCACACUGUGACGGUAUCUUACCAGAAAGGGACGGCUAACUACGU
RNAcentral lists this ribosomal RNA (504 nucleotides) under uncultured bacterium. RNAcentral describes it as "partial 16S ribosomal RNA". It matches the Rfam family "Bacterial small subunit ribosomal RNA", at positions 28 to 506 of the family's 1533-position model. The record is from RNAcentral.